UAUCUCUGUAGAGUCUGCAUAUCAAUAAGCGGAGGAAAAGGAAACUAACUAGGAUUCCCUCAGUAACGGCGAGUGAAGCGGGAAGAGCUCAAAUUUGAAAUCUUCAAGGUUCUACCUUGACGAAUUGUAGUUUAAAGAAGUGUUUUCUGUUGGAGUUUUGGUAGAAGUUCUUUGGAAUAGGACAUCAUAGAGGGUGAGAAUCCCGUAUUUGACCAUUAUUUCCAGCUUUGUGAUACACUUUCAAAGAGUCGGAUUGUUUGGGAAUGCAGUCCAAAAUGGGUGGUAAAUUUCAUCUAAAGCUAAAUAUUGGCGAGAGACCGAUAGCGAACAAGUACCGUGAGGGAAAGAUGAAAAGAACUUUGAAAAGAGAGUUAAACAGUACGUGAAAUUGUCAAAAGGGAAGCGUUUGACACCAGUGUUGUUUUUCUGAAAAUCAAUUAAAAAAGGCAGGAUUUUGUGUUGUAUUGACUUUAUCAGCUUUCUGCACUCUUUUCUUGUCUUUUUUAAUGCACUUUUCGUUUAACAAGUCAACAUCAAUUUCUUUUGUUGUAAAAGGGUCAUUGGAAGGUGGCUUUCUUUUCGGAGAAAGUGUUUAUAGCCUUUGGCCUCUGCAAUCGGAGAGAUUGAGGUCUGCAGCGUAGAUCCUUCGGGGUUAGAUACAUUUGUGCUAAGUUAUAGCCUUUCAUAGACAACUUGUUGACUAUGAUCAGUCAUGUAGCUUACUCGCUUAUGCUAUUUUACCUACGCUUAGGAUGUUGACGAUCAGCUGAGCGCG
RNAcentral lists this ribosomal RNA (775 nucleotides) under uncultured Neocallimastigales. Its description in RNAcentral is "partial large subunit ribosomal RNA". It matches the Rfam family "Eukaryotic large subunit ribosomal RNA", at positions 24 to 627 of the family's 3401-position model. The record is from RNAcentral. Lineage: Eukaryota; Fungi; Neocallimastigomycota; Neocallimastigomycetes; Neocallimastigales.